CAGUAGCCGCGGGAAUACGAAGGGGGCUAGCGUUGUUCGGAAUUACUGGGCGUAAAGCGCACGUAGGCGGAUAUUUAAGUCAGGGGUGAAAUCCCAGAGCUCAACUCUGGAACUGCCUUUGAUACUGGGUAUCUUGAGUAUGGAAGAGGUGAGUGGAAUUCCGAGUGUAGAGGUGAAAUUCGUAGAUAUUCGGAGGAACGCCAGUGGCGAAGGCGGCUCACUGGUCCAUUACUGACGCUGAGGUGCGAAAGCGUGGGGAGCAAACGGGAUUAGAUACCCCCGUAGUCCCUGUCUCUUAUAC
RNAcentral lists this ribosomal RNA (301 nucleotides) under uncultured bacterium. RNAcentral describes it as "partial 16S ribosomal RNA". It matches the Rfam family "Bacterial small subunit ribosomal RNA", at positions 509 to 807 of the family's 1533-position model. The record is from RNAcentral.